UCAGACGGCCGGGCGGUCGCGGGCGCAAGCUCGAGGAAAGUCCGGGCUCCACGACGACAUGGCGGCGGGUAACGCCCGCCGGGGGCGACCCCAGGGAUAGCGCCACAGAAAGCAAACCGCCGGGCGUUCGCGUCCGGUAAGGGUGAAAGGGUGCGGUAAGAGCGCACCGCGUCCUUGGCAACAAGGGCGGCAAGGCAAGCCCCGCCAGGAGCAAGACCGAAUAGGGAUCCCGCGCUCGCGAAAGCGGGUAGGGCCGUCGCCGGCCCGAGGGAUCCGGGUUGGUCGCGAGAACCGGUCCGCGAGGAUCGGUCCAGAGGAAUGGCCGCCGCGUCCGCAGCUUCGGCUGCGGGCGGCACAGAACCCGGCUUACAGGCCGUCUGAUCUC
RNAcentral lists this RNase P RNA (385 nucleotides) under Phenylobacterium deserti. RNAcentral describes it as "Bacterial RNase P class A". It matches the Rfam family "Bacterial RNase P class A". From Rfam's summary of the family: Ribonuclease P (RNase P) is a ubiquitous endoribonuclease, found in archaea, bacteria and eukarya as well as chloroplasts and mitochondria. Its best characterised activity is the generation of mature 5'-ends of tRNAs by cleaving the 5'-leader elements of precursor-tRNAs. The record is from Rfam by way of RNAcentral. Lineage: Bacteria; Pseudomonadati; Pseudomonadota; Alphaproteobacteria; Caulobacterales; Caulobacteraceae.